AGAAUUCUGCCUCCAGAUUGCUUUACAACUUGCACUGGAACAUCAGCUGUUCUCUAGGUCUCAAGUCUGCUGCUCUAACCUACAAAUUUUGGACAUGCCAAUCUCCACAGUCACAUGGGCCAAUUCCUUAGUUUCUCUGGAGAAUCCUGACUAAUGUAUGCAAUGUCUUUAUUUCAUCCUCAUUCUUAAAGGAUAUUUUCAUCAGCAACACCACACCCUCCUGAUCACCAUAGCUUUAUGUUUCUUACAGCAACAACAAGAAACAAAUUUAUUAGCUAACCUAACCACUAAUGAGGCAAGUGGCAAUUCUAAGGACUUUCAAAACAGCAAAGUAGGAGCAGCUGCUACCUCUAGGGAUGUGGGAGGAACUCAAAAAUGGGUACAAAAACCAUUGCAGGAAAAGUGACUGGGUAUGUGCAUAGCAUCAGGAGAUGUGCAUAGUGUCAAAGUAUCUCAUCACACAUUACUUGAUAAUUACAAAGGAGAAAAGUGAACCUUCACAGUGGCAAGACUUGACUUCUACCUCUUUCAAAGAGAAGCAAUUGUCCAAUUAUUAGUGAAAUUGUCAUUUCAUGCUAUCGGCUAUUUGAAAUUCCUCCUCUAAUUUCAGAUUAACUCACUGAAAUUGACAUCGGCCAGUCUGAAUUUCAAGAAAUUACCUGCUGGAGACAAGAGGGAUCUCUUCUUCAGAUUUGCAGUCUGGGGAAGACAGCCUCUAUUGUACUUUAGAACCUGAGAUAUGGUGGUGGAGGGAGCCCUGGGUCAGUAGGAGUGGGGUCGGAGUGGUAAGAUUCACCCUUAGGUUAGUAUUGACGUAAGGUGACGAGGAGCUGUAGACAAAAGAUUGUAACCAUAAGAACUUCAUAGUUUUUGUAUUUUCACUGAGUUUAUAUUUGGUGUGUUUUUUGUCUUUUCUUUAUGAUUAUCAAUAAAACGCUUGAAACGAGAUGAGUUUGGGGAAUAAUUUUUGGGAAUACCACAAAAGACACUUUUGUGAUGGAAAUCCUUAAAAACACACAAUCCAUUACCUCAUUGGGUUCAAAAGGCAAUUGUGAACUACUGUGGAGUUUGGAAAGAAGCAAUGAGGUAAUCAAGGAUACUGUUGAAAAUCUAGCUUAUCCUAUGGAUGGAAGGAAAUUGAAACUAAUGGAGGGGAGGCUGGUAAAACAAUAGGGUUUGAGACAAUUCUGUGGCAUUAGAAAUGAAAGAGGAAGGUGAAUCCAGGAGACGGAGCUUGCAGUAAGCUGAGAUCGCGCCACUGCACUCCAGCCUGGGCGACAGAGCAAGACUCCAUAU
This 1296-nucleotide long non-coding RNA is filed under the name Pongo abelii (Sumatran orangutan). RNAcentral describes it as "lincRNA". The record is from RNAcentral. Lineage: Eukaryota; Metazoa; Chordata; Mammalia; Primates; Hominidae.